UUCAGCAUGCAAUCUGUGUGGGAAAUCCUACUAAUGGAAGAAAAAGAAUUGCCAAACCAGGACAAGAAAUUCAAGUUUUAAGUCAAUACAGGAAGCUAUGCAAUGCUGGUUUUCCUCAUCUGUAAAUAGCUGGCUGGCUCUGCUGCUUACACUAACUGACUGAUCAAGCAGAUUAUUCAUAUCUCCCACUCUAAGAAGGAGCUUUAAAACCUGGCUGGGCAUAUCUGAUGAGUUUAAAAAAAGGACAUACAGAAGUUUCUAUUUUUGUUUUUAAUUUGGUGGCAUUAUUAUUUUAUUUUCAGGAGUACACAUUUCUUAUUUUCUUUCUUUAUUUUAUUGUAAUAAGUGAGAGAGAUGCAGCUGCUUUUUAAGAAGUGGCAAAACUCCAGCAAAGGCGAGAUAAAUUAAAUCUAAAACUCAAAACUUCUUGGAGGUGCUCUUCAGAUCAGAAAUUAUCUACACAGAUCAAGAAAAAGAGAGCAAUCAGAGUACCAGUGGAACAGAUAAAGGAUACUUUAUCCAGAUUGCCCAGAAAAAAACACUGAACA
Protopterus annectens (West African lungfish) is the source of this 548-nucleotide long non-coding RNA. RefSeq lists it as uncharacterized. The record is from RefSeq and is a predicted model, not a curated record. The transcript is spliced from 3 exons. NCBI's taxonomy places the organism in Eukaryota, Metazoa, Chordata, Ceratodontiformes, Protopteridae.